Molecule: long non-coding RNA, 4023 nt
Filed under: Hordeum vulgare
Lineage: Eukaryota; Viridiplantae; Streptophyta; Magnoliopsida; Poales; Poaceae
Description: long non-coding RNA (HVUL_LNC017996)
Source: RNAcentral
GAGCCACACACAUAAUAUUACACAUUAAGGGUCUCACGACCCAUAAUAGUAGUCAUUCAGUUACAAGCCAGCGGAAGAGUUUAAAGUUGUCUGAGUACAGACAGGUGCAACUAAAAGGGCACAUGGCCUGACUAUACUACAGACCCAACCUAGGGCCAGAUCGUAGCUGGGACACCAGCUACUCGUCGUGGUCGAUGUCUACGAAGAACCCUCCAUUAGGGUCAUUAGCAACCUCUGCAACAAUUAUUAAGCAAACAUAAGUACGAAGGUACUCAGCAAGACUUUAGGAUAACUAUCUACUCAUGCAAGGUAUCAAUAAGGUAUUGUGGGGUUUCAUGCGGAAAGCCAGCAUUUGACUCGUGGCUAGACAACUUGCAUUUUUAAAUAAUUUUGACAACUUGAUUUCUCGCACACGAGUCCACUAACACCACAACAAUACACCAUCGUGGAAUCAUUCCGUAUCCAUACGGAAAUGCCGUCCACGACACUCACGCUUAUCUUGACAAUUUUAUGAGUAGCCAUUUAAGUUAUCUAUGAACAACAUAUGUCUCCAAGUAGUCCAUAACCGCGGACGCGGCUAUUCGAAUAGAUCAUAACCCUGCAGGGGUGUACUUCGUCACACACGCUCUCGCCACUUAUCGCCAUGUGCACGUCAUGCACCUCGGCAACCUUCAAGCGGAAGCCCAGCGAGGGAGUCGGCCACGACCGUUAACCACACUAGUAUCUAGUCCAGGUUUAUCGCCUAUCUGAGAGUAACCCGUACGGAAGUCCGGCCGAGGUUUCCGCCACGGCCUCAAACGAUGUGCGCAGGGUUCCCAAGCCCACCAUCCGGGUGCCACUUGGUACACCGUGCCACUACCUACCGCAUCACGGCCCACCUCUCAGGUCAGCACCAUGCACGGCCUCCAGCAUUACUAUAAACACCAGAAACUACUUGCAACUCCUGGACCGAGUACUAAGCGAUUAAUAGGCCGAGCGGGGUCAUAUUUCAGGGCCCAGCAUGUGGUAGUAUCUAGUCUUGGAUUACAUACACGGAACUCAGUUCCUAAGGACAGUUCCAAUGAAACAACCCGCCAUGUACUCCUACACAGCCUUUCAUCGGUACCUUUACCAAAUCAGAUUCAACACGCAACCUUUGCUUACCGAACGCAUUCUCACAAUUCUGUUCAUCUCCCAGAUGACAGACCAUACACAACUCUAAGCAUAGCAUGCAUAGCAGGAUAAGGCACAUCAUGGCUCAAGCAACUACCAGGUAUGCUAGGUUGCCAGGUUCGUCUAUUUACUGUGACAAGGAUAGGUCAUGCAAAGGAAGUGGGUUCAACUAACGUGGCAAAAGCAGUUGAAGCAUUUGAUCCUAAUGCAAUAAACAAGUGUAGGAGCAAGAACAUGGGAUUUAUCGGGAUGAUCAAAAUGGUUGCUUGCCUUGUUGCUCAGAGGAGGGACAAUAUCCGUCAGACGGAUAUUCGGUGGAAUCCGGGGGAGCGGAGCCUACCGAAGGAAAUGACAACAAUCAAUAUCAAGCAUAUGCAAUCAAGAUGAUGCAUGAGCAUGGCAUGAGAAUGCAAGGUGAUAUACUAUUAUAAUCAACAUGUAUUAGGUUUGAAGUUGAUUUGAAUUAAAUUCAAAUAUCACCUCAAAUGAGGUAUUCUCGGAUACCGAUUUAAUUGAUUCGACCUGAUGCUCAGAUCAACUUGAUGUUAACAUGCAUGGGAUGUCAUGUUAAGUUGCUGGUUUGUUAUUAGAACAAUGUUUGACCAUGUCAAACAAAAAGAAAUUUAAAUACUUUCCAUAUUCCAUUUAUAAAGUAUUUAUAAGAAUUGACUUAUUCAUUAAUCUACAUGUUUGGGUUGUGUAACUUUUUCAAACAUGAUUGAAAAUAGCAUAUUCAGAUUCCUUGAAUUUUUCUGAUACUUUUUCAUAUAUAAAUUAUUUUCAUUGGAGUUACAGAUUAAUUUCUAUGAAUUUUUGAAGUUUUAAACAUUUCUGGAAUUAUUCUUAUACUGGAAAAUACUUUUACUGCAUCAGCAUGACAUCAGCAGGUCCAUCUAGCCGCUGAAAGUCAAACCUGACCAGUGGGACCCACUGGUCAGUCUCUCUGGUCAAUUUUAGAUUAGGAUUAAUCUUAUUUAGUUAAUUAAACUCACUGGACCCACAUGUCAGUGUCUUAUUAAUUUAUCUUAUUUAUUUUUAUUAUCUCUAAACUAUCCAGAGGCUGGCCCCACCCGUCAGUGGCUCAGGCCAGCUGAGAUCCACCGGCGGCAAGGUCAUCCUCGCCGGCGGGGAGCUUCCGGCGAGCACCAGAACGUCGGGGGGGCUCGGAAACUCGUCUGCGACGGCCAAACUCACGGCAGAGACCACGGGAAGAACGGCCACUCGACGGCNNNNNNNNNNNNNNNNNNNNNNNNNNNNNNNNNNNNNNNNNNNNNNNNNNNNNNNNNNNNNNNNNNNNNNNNNNNNNNNNNNNNNNNNNNNNNNNNNNNNNNNNNNNNNNNNNNNNNNNNNNNNNNNNNNNNNNCGACGGCGCGCACGAUGGGACAAGCCCCAGGGGCUGGGGUGGCCGGAAUCAACGCCGGCGACGAGCUUGGCGGCGACCAAGUUCGGCCAUCGUCGAAGCCAUCGAAUACGGGGUCAAAACGCGCGGGGCUGGGCACCUAACGCAUCUACAUGAUGUCCUGAGGCUGUUGGUGGCCUCAGACGGACCAACCCGUCACCGGAGGGUUACCGGCGACGAGCUGCAGCGGCGGUCCUCGUCGGGCUCCGAUGGAACUAAGCCUAGAGGAGGGGAUCGACGGGGAGAGCUUAGGGGAAAUGACCGCAUGCUCACGGGGAGUGCAGUGGUGGCGCUAGCUUGCUCGGGGACGGCCUGGAGAGGGAGAACGCCGGCGACGAUCUUCGGUGACCCGAGGAAGAAGACGACUGCUCCUCGUCGUUUCACUGCAUCUGGGCGUCUGGCUCGUGGCUAGGGAGCUUCAGGGGGAUGCGGCGGACCUACUGCGUGGCUCAGGAGGGAGAAGGGUCGGCUAGAUCGACGACGAGCUUGAGCUCUGCUCGGGCUCCAAUGGCGGCAGAAGGAGGGAGGAGAGAUCCGAGAGGAGGGGGGAACUGGCGCUGGGAAUGGAUAGGGUCGGCCUCGGGGAGCUUAUCCCCGUGCUUGCCAGCGCGAAGCGGCGGCCAGGCAGCCAGGGAGCUGCGUGGAGGCGCGCGGCGACGCGGCGGCCACCUCCUGCUCCUACUGGCGAGGAGGAAGACGACAGGAGGAGCUGGGCUGGGCCGGCUAGGCGACACGUAAGGUUUUUCCCAUUUCUUUCUGUUUUAUUUCUGUUUUAAUUGCUGGCAUUGAUCUACCAUUCCUAAAGUUUUUCAACAUUUUUAAAAGUUUAAAGUUUCUGAUUUCAAAUUUAAAACUUGAAAUCAGUAGCUUUUUGCAUUUAUUUAAAAUGCUUAAAAUGUCAAGAAAAUGGUUUUCUUCAUUGCUCAUUUACUUUCUGAUUUAUCAGAAAGUUUGAACUUUUCUUGAGGCCAUUUUGGGUUCAUUGAUUUUAACUAGUUAGAAUUUUCCCUCAUUCUAAGAAGUGGGUAGGGUUUUAGCAUUUUCCUUCAUCAUUUGCUUUGUUCUUAUUGAAAAAAUCCUAGAUGCAAUGCAAAGAAAAACAUGAGCACAAGCUAACUUGCUUAAGGAUUCAGGAAUGUGACAUGAAGGAAGAGGAGCACCAGAAAGCAGCGCCGCCGUCCGCCCUCCCGACGCCCUCACCGGAAACCCGUGUGCUACUGCGCCGCUUGGCAUCAGCCAUGGCUGUCCGUCCCGCUGCAAUCCGUAUCGGCACUUGGUCGCCCGAGGCACUCGGCCUCACCAGCCGUGUUGCAGACCUCCACCUCCACCAGGCCGCCUCCAACCUCCUCUCCUCCUCUGCGAAGGGACCGCUCCGCCACUGAAGGAGCCGGCCAUGGGCACGAGCAUGGAGGAGAGCAAGUAGUACUCACGAUCUGGGAGAGAUAGCCAUUUGGGAGAGAAAGUGAUGUGGG